UGUAGAAAUGUCCGGCGACGCCAUUUGCGCUCUGUCGUGAAUGUAAAUAUUGUCUGUUCCACACUUGCGAAAAUACUCAUUAUUUCCAUGAAAUAAAACAAGUCCCAUGCAUACCGAGUGUUAUCCCGUUCGUCAGUGAACAUAUGUGACCAAGUGUCACGAGAGACGUGAAUUCCCACGUCCCACAGUCGACAUGUCAAAGUAAAACUUCAACCGCUGUCAGACUUUACUUGUAGACCAUGCUCAAUGAAUGUGUCACGGUGCGUGCUGAUUUAGAACUCGUGAAUCAGGAAUAAAAACGAGAAAAACAGCAGUAAGUUGAGACUCAUGCGGCAAUAUGGUGAUUUGUGCUGAACAGUGUCUGAUAAUUUUCCCCUAAAAAUCUCGUGCAAUCCACCAAUUUCAUCGAAAUUCAAUGCCACCAGUUGAGAUUUUUUCCAGGCGACAUUUGUCUCCCCUGACAGCUCGUGGUGGUGAUGAAAUCACCUCGUAAAUUUUAACACAAAUAUUGAGACGAAAAAAUCGUGGGGAUAAUGAGGAGCAGGUGCUACCCACACAUAUCUGUCGAACAUGAGUUCCACUGACAAUCAACGCUGGAAUAUUUUCAUUUGGAACAUGAUUCCAACCACGAAUUGAUCCGAACAGACUGAUUGAUACGAGAGCCAGGAAGAUCAGAGGAGACAAAUCAAACACAAACGACUGAACUGUGUCAUUAUUGACUAAUACAAUAGUUCACCAUGAGCAUUGUGGAAAUUUGUUGAUAAUGCGUGAUGAGGUGGAGUGUCCGUCAGGGAAAAACAUGAGUUUAGAUGCAAUUUUUCAAACAACUUGUGCCCCUUCGUAACGGAGUUAUUAACAAUGGCCAAUGACACGUUGAAUGCAGCAUAUCCACUCCACAAGUGUAUUUUCCAAGGCGACAUCAAGACGCUGAGUUUCCUACUGAGGACCCAUGAUAUUGCCGAGAAAGACAAACAUGGUAACACACCCCUCCACUUAGCAGUGAUGCUGGGCAGGAAAGAGUGCGUCCAGCUCUUGCUUGCCCACGGUGCCCCAGUAAAAGUAAAAAAUUUGUCGGGCUGGAGUCCCCUCGCCGAGGCGAUAAGCUACGGCGACAGGCAGACAAUAUCAUCCCUCGUGCGAAAAUUGAAGCAACAAGCACGCGAGCAGAUGGAGAAAAGGCGUCCAAAUUUGGUGGAAGCACUCCGUAAAAUGGGUGACUUCUACAUGGAACUAAAAUGGGAUUUUCAAAGCUGGGUGCCCCUCGUAUCGCGAAUAUUGCCCUCCGAUAUAUGUAGAAUACACAAAUGUGGCUCAUCAAUACGUAUGGACACGACUCUAGUUGAUUUCAAUGACAUGCGAUGGGAGCGCGGUGACAUAUCAUUCAUAUUCAAUGGCGAUCAGAAGCCAGGAAAAUCACUAACUGUACUGGAUAACAAGGCCAAGAUAUAUCAGCGAGUCAAGUACGAGGAGACUGAGCUCGAAAUUGAGGAUGAAGUUGAUAUACUCAUGUCGAGUGAUAUUAUGGCAGCACAAAUGUCGACAAAGGGGAUAACAUUCUCCAGAGCUCAAACUGGCUGGAUAUUCAGGGAGGACAAGAGGGAAAUGAUUGGCCAAUUCAAUGCUGAUUUUUAUCAGAUAAAUGGCAUUGUAUUUGAGAGCAGAAAGAGACGUGAGCACUUGAGUGAAGAAGAUUUGCAGAAGAAUAAAGCUAUUAUGGAGUCACUCACGAAGGGCAGCUCGCAGGGCUUUGCCAAUGGUGAACCACUGACCAGACGAGCAUCCCUGAACCCACCGCCUGACUCGAAAAUCACUUGGGAGGCUUAUCUCGAGGCACCCCCAGGUGAAUGUCCCCUCCUAGGUCGUAAUCUCGUGUAUAAAGAGAGCAGCAAGUCCUUCAAAGCCACCGCUGCUAUGAGCUCUGAUUUUCCACUCACUGUCGAUAUGUUACUGAAUGUGCUGGAAGUUAUCGCACCCUUCAAACACUUCAGCAAACUUCGUCAAUUUGUAUUGAUGAAAUUACCACCUGGAUUUCCUGUUAAAAUUGAUAUACCAAUUCUGCCUACAGUUACCGCUAAGAUAACAUUUCAAGAGUUCACAUUCAAACACGAUAUUGAUCCUGAAUUGUUUCAAGUUCCGUCAGACUAUUUUGAAGAUCCUAUGAGUUACUAUGGAGCAUAUUUGGCAAUGAUGAUGGUCCUGCAUACUGCCUCAUCUGUCUGAACAGGAGACAUUAAUCGGGAACGUAGCAGUGAAGAAUAAUUACUCGUAUUUCCAGACUUAUGACGCUUUGAUACUCUACCACUAAUCGAAGUCAAUUAUCGGACUGGCUCAGGAUCAUUCACUGUAUUAGGGGACCGUUUGGCAUUAGAUUAUCCACUGAGUGUGAGCCCUGAUGAAACCCCGUAAACCCAAAAAAGUGGUAUAAAUUUUUGUCACAUAAGUCCGGAUAUAAAAUUCCUCAUACCACGCAUUCUUCCCACUGCCUACAACUGAAGCCAUAAAGACAGUAAUUUGUCACCCGCUCAAAAUGCUGAUGAUAUUUGAAACUGCAAAAGUUGAUAUUUUCAAUGACAAUGGGAAAUUCACGAACUGAAGUGGGAUGAAAUGUAAUAAAAUCGUGGCCUUGUGGUGUAGACUGGAUCUGUUCAAAUUAUACCGAUAUAAGUGAACUCAAGGAUCAAUCUCAAAAAUUUUCGACUUUUCCAACAAUUAGAGCAGCAUUUUUCUACUCAACUUAUAUCGCUAUCUAGUCCAGAUACCGAAAUUCUUCGAGGAAGAAGCAAGGAUGACAAAUAUAUCUAUUUUUACACUGUCAGACACUAGGAAACAGACAACCCAUCUGCAUACAUCGGACGAGUUCGUGAUUGAACAUAAACUUUGUAAAAAAUAUUAGGACAGGGUGGGGCAAAAUGGAAAAUUUUGACUGUUUUUUCAAUGUUCAUAACUCAGGGAUAAAUUCGCCAAUCGAACUCAUUCUAGGGUUAUCAGGAAGGGAAAGAACUCUACUUUCCGUUGAAGUAAAAAUCACUGAUGAAUCAGUUCAUCUUCAUGAAAUUAUUAAUUAUCAAAUUGUCAUAAAUGAAAAACUGCUGGAUUUGAUUGAGAUCAAUGAAUAAUUAGCAUUUUAAAAAAUGUCGCAAGUCUCCAUUUUGCCCCUAAUCACUGAUUAGGUAAAUUAUCUGCACCUAGUUGUCUCAUCAAUCUGACUUCAAUGAAGAUUCUCGGCAAAAGCCGAUUUUUUAUCAAAAAAUCUCUCAAUUGGCGAGAGAGUAAAAGAAACUACUGAUAUGGGAGAAAAAGUUUGCACCAUGAAUUCUCAGCCAAGAGGCGGUGAAAAUAGUUGAAGGAUAGCUUAAAAAAUUUUCUCCUUUUCCAGGCCCUGGAUAAAAUAAAUUGAAGGGGAUUUGAAGAGGACAAAUAAUGCUGAGGAGUGUUCGAAAAUACGAGGUGGGAGACAGGUGUGGACGCCGCCAUCUUGUUUGGUUCCCCGCUCCCUCUGAGGCGCAGGUGUUUAAAGAUGGCGGAGUCCCACCUCGUAUUUUGAAACAUUUUUUGAGACUAACGGUCUUCUUCACAUCACCCUCAGCUCACUUAGUUCGAUUCCUAUAAAAGGAACGAAUUUUUCAAGCCAUCUUUUAGAUUUUUCCAUUCUCUUUUCGCUCGGAAUUCUCAACCCAAAAUUUUCCCUCCAUUUUGGUAGUUUUUUAUACUCUCGAAGCCUCUCAAAAGUUGUCAGAACUCAAGGGAAAUAUUUUGACGUUUCUCUCUAUUAGGGAAAAACGUAAAAAUAUCAGCAGUGCUUUGUUAAUUCAACUCAUUAACUCAUUAACGAAGUGUCAGAGACGAAAAUUUCAUCAGACUUUUCGUCUCAAAAUAUUUCUCUCGAGUUUUGGGACACCUGUACACACUACUCUCAUUUCAUACAUGUUUACAGUGUUAGCGUACAAUUCGCACCCCUGAGUAGUCUGAAAUCUGUCAAAUAGUCUCCAAAAUUAUUAUAUAUAUUCUAAUUAUAAGUAUUUUGAUCUGUUAAUUUUUAAAUAACUAUUUCAUCAAAUGUUGUCAUCAUUACUAUCAUGAAGCAAGUAUUGAACAUUGAUUUCUCUCCAGAAUUUAUUUCUAUUUAUAGCUAUUAACGUAAUUUUGUUCAACAUGAGCACAGAUAGAGUAUUCCAUAAUCUUAAUAACUUGAUAGAACUACCAUUUUCGUGCUUGGAACGGUUCCAAUGUAAUUGAAAUGUUUUAGAAUGUUUGUAUACCAAUGUAUAAAAAUAUACAUAAUUUUUCUUUUCCAAAAAUAAUAAUUUUAUUUCAAUAAAAACUCACAGCUGUGUCGAUUUGAUCGCUGAAAUUAUAAAGCAUGGGUCAUUCAACCAAUUUUUUACCAAUUUGUUUUUAUUCUUUUUACAAACUACGGAUUAUACUACACAGGGUGUUACAGUUACUGCAAAUUCACACGAGAAAAAUUUAUUUGCAAUAUCAAAAAACGUAUCCAAUUGUAGUCCUCCACGUGCGAAAUCAUUUGACUGUGACACUCCAUAAUAUAUUCCAUAAAGCCAAUAAAUAUUGUUAUUUACAUUUAUUUGUAUUAAGCCAAUUUGCACUCAAUAGUAUGUUACGCGAAUACAAUCAUCUAUAAAAAUAGAUGUAAUGUAAUCUCUUCCCAAUUUUCCUUUUUUU
RNA transcript from Diachasma alloeum, 4680 nucleotides. It is a transcript of the gene named ankyrin repeat domain-containing protein 13C, with no coding region annotated. The record is from RefSeq and is a predicted model, not a curated record. Lineage: Eukaryota; Metazoa; Arthropoda; Insecta; Hymenoptera; Braconidae. The transcript has 7 exons.